Molecule: ribosomal RNA, 116 nt
Filed under: Arthrobacter sp. Hiyo8
Lineage: Bacteria; Bacillati; Actinomycetota; Actinomycetes; Micrococcales; Micrococcaceae
Source: RNAcentral
ACAUCAUGUGGGCGGGCGUGGGCCGUGGGAACCCGCAUAUCUGAGCGGGGGUUUGCGGAAACCGGGCCAUAGGUGAGCGGGGUCCGGGAAACCGGGCCAUAGGUGAGCGGGGGUCC